Molecule: ribosomal RNA, 1228 nt
Filed under: Alternaria sp. 5 SD-2012
Lineage: Eukaryota; Fungi; Ascomycota; Dothideomycetes; Pleosporales; Pleosporaceae
Description: SSU rRNA
Rfam family: Eukaryotic small subunit ribosomal RNA
Source: RNAcentral
GACUGAGUACCACUUAACUCUUAACCGAGAUCAUGAGCAGUCAGUCAGACGCUCGGUAUCAGGCUCAUAGCGUAAUUAAAGUGUGCAGUAAAAGGCUGGUAGCUUGAACCUUGGCUGCUGCGGUCGGCUCACGCGUGCACUCGUCCGCCGGGCUCAUAUGAAGAACUCAUGCCCUUCACUGGGCGUGCUGGGAAUCAGGACUUUUACUUUGAAAAAAUUAGAGUGUUCAAGCAGGCCUUUGCUCGAAUACGUUAGCAUGGAAUAAUAAAAUAGGGCGUGCGUUUCUAUUUUGUUGGUUUCUAGAGACGCCGCAAUGAUUAACAGGAACAGUCGGGGGCAUCAGUAUUCAGUUGUCAGAGGUGAAAUUCUUGGAUUUACUGAAGACUAACUACUGCGAAAGCAUUUGCCAAGGAUGUUUUCAUUAAUCAGUGAACGAAAGUUAGGGGAUCGAAGACGAUCAGAUACCGUCGUAGUCUUAACCGUAAACUAUGCCGACUAGGGAUCGGGCGAUGUUCUUUUUCUGACUCGCUCGGCACCUUACGAGAAAUCAAAGUUUUUGGGUUCUGGGGGGAUUAUGGUCGCAAGGCUGAAACUUAAAGAAAUUGACGGAAGGUCACCACCAGGCGUGGAGCCUGCGGCUUAAUUUGACUCAACACGGGGAAACUCACCAGGUCCAGAUGAAAUAAGGAUUGACAGAUUGAGAGCUCUUUCUUGAUUUUUCAGGUGGUGGUGCAUGGCCGUUCUUAGUUCGUGGGGUGACUUGUCUGCUUAAUUGCGAUAACGAGCGAGACCUUACUCUGCUAAAUAGCCAGGCUAACUUUGGUUGGUCGCCGGCUUCUUAGAGAGACUAUCAACUCAAGUUGAUGGAAGUUUGAGGCAAUAACAGGUCUGUGAUGCCCUUAGAUGUUCUGGGCCGCACGCGCGCUACACUGACAGAGCCAACGAGUUCUUUUCCUUGUUCGAAAGAAUUGGGUAAUCUUGUUAAACUCUGUCGUGCUGGGGAUAAAGCAUUGCAAUUAUUGCUUUUCAACGAGGAAUGCCUAGUAAGCGCGUGUCAUCAGCAUGCGUUGAUUACGUCCCUGACCUUUGUACACACCGCCCGUCGCUACUACCGAUUGAAUGGCUCAGUGAGGCCUUCGGACUGGCUCGAGGAGGUUGGCAACGACCACCUCAAGCCGGAAAGUUCGUCAAACUCGGUCAUUAGAGAAGUAAUGAGCUUGCCCGCAAC